Molecule: long non-coding RNA, 531 nt
Organism: Phyllostomus discolor (pale spear-nosed bat)
Lineage: Eukaryota; Metazoa; Chordata; Mammalia; Chiroptera; Phyllostomidae
Exons: 3
Source: RefSeq, a predicted model, not a curated record
CGCCAGCCCCAGCUCCGCCCCUGACUGAUCUAGCAGAGUUGCGUUACACCCACAUUCUGUCCCUUCCCUUGCACGCCGAGUUCCUGCUGAGGGUUCCGGCUUACGUCCCGAGCCCCGCAGCGCGCCAGAGCUCUCCGCUCUCUAGCUUCCGGAGCCACAACUGCAUCCCUUCGCUUCGGGGCUUGCCUGGAUGGACCGCGGCCUGAGCCGCGUUUUCCCGGCCAGGGUAGUGAGACUGAGCGGGAACUAACGCAGAACGGACUGCUCCACGAGCCCUGAAAUAGCUGGGAAGAUGGAGAGGAGCCGACGUCCCAGGCUCUAGAGACCAUUCCUCUAACUAAUGCUAUUCGGACUGUGAUUUUCUGCAGGUUCUAUUUGAGAACUAGCUGAUCCUGCACAGAAAAGAAGAUCCUCAGUCUAAGUCUGAAAGCAGAUGGAAGAGAUCAGAUCUGAAGGAAGAGGACUCUUAGUGCCUCUGCUGGCUUGAAAAAGGCAUGGAAUAAAGGAGGCUUCUAGGAUCUAGAAACAGAU